UGGGGAAUAUUGCACAAUGGGCGAAAGCCUGAUGCAGCGACGCCGCGUGAGGGAUGACGGCCUUCGGGUUGUAAACCUCUUUCAGCAGGGAAGAAGCGAAAGUGACGGUACCUGCAGAAGAAGCGCCGGCUAACUACGUGCCAGCAGCUGCGGUAAUACGUAAGGCGCAAGCGUUGUCCGGAAUUAUUGGGCGUAAAGAGCUCGUAGGCGGUUAGUCGCGUCUGCUGUGAAAACUCGAGGCUCAACCUCGGGCUUGCAGUGGGUACGGGCUGACUAGAGUGCGGUAGGGGUGACUGGAAUUCCUGGUGUAGCGGUGAAAUGCGCAGAUAUCAGGAGGAACACCGAUGGCGAAGGCAGGUCACUGGGCCGCAACUGACGCUGAGGAGCGAAAGCAUGGGGAGCGAACAGGAUUAGAUACCCUGGUAGUCCAUGCCGUAAACGUUGGGCACUAGGUGUGGGGU
Molecule: ribosomal RNA, 461 nt
Filed under: uncultured bacterium
Lineage: Bacteria
Description: partial 16S ribosomal RNA
Rfam family: Bacterial small subunit ribosomal RNA
Source: RNAcentral